Long non-coding RNA from Mirounga angustirostris (Northern elephant seal), 2854 nucleotides. RefSeq lists it as uncharacterized. The transcript is spliced from 2 exons. The record is from RefSeq and is a predicted model, not a curated record. Lineage: Eukaryota; Metazoa; Chordata; Mammalia; Carnivora; Phocidae.
AACAUUGUACGUUCCUGAAAAACAGAACAGCAGCUCAGGCUUACGUGCAAGACCUCACGAUCACUGUGGCGUGCCCCUCUCGUGAUGUGGCCCCGAGGGGGGCUCUCCCUUGAGAGCCAGGAUGACACAUUUGCUGCCCUCUACUCAGUGCCUGCAUCUCUCAGUCCACUUGAAAGUGAGAGCCUGGUGGAGCGUGAAUUUCUACUUCAAACAAAUCAAGUAGGAGAGUCACUUUGAAACACUGGAUUCACAUCGGAUUUAGGAAAAUAACUUUCAAAUACAUGUUUUACUGUUCAAUAGGGUUUGGUAUCUUCUGACAUGUGACGACAGUCAAAUACGUUUGAGUGCAAUAGUUAUUUUCCAAAAUGAACUACAGAAGAUCUAUUCAUCAUUAUUCCUCACAUUGUAUUCUCUAGUGCCUUAAAUUUCCCCAGAAGAUUUCUUUUUUCCCCUUGAAUUUUGGUUUUUGGCCUCCAAUUGGUAUUAUCUGUGCUAUCUGAUCCCUAUUUAAAGAUGUGGGACAGCAUCUUAAUGGAAGUUCUGUGGCUGACUUUAAUAGGCAGAAUCGGGUACAAAGCAAAAACAGUGGAAUAAUAAUCUAUGCUGAACGUGGGUGUGGAGAGAGAGGGGUUUUCAAAAAUCUCUACAAAAGGAACACUGACCUUUGAGUGCUGCGAAGACCAUCUUGACAGUGAAAACUUCUUUAGCAACGCUUCCUGGACCUACAAUUGUUUAAAAGAAGCCAUCGUAAGUUCAAUAUGCUGCAAUCACUGUCGACUUUUCUAGAAGCAUGAAACUGUCAUUGUUCUUACCUUCUGAUCCCAGAGGCAGCCAAAGAGUAAAAUGAAUAAUCCCUGAAAAAAAGAAUUGGGAAGAAGGACAUUUUAUUCAUAUUCUAUUGCCCAGCAAACCAAGAAAUAUUGUCAACCAGGCAUUGAAUUUGUACUACCUCUCCCAUAUCUGUAUUUAUGGAAUGAGUCCAGGGGAUAAUAAUGUUAAAAGGAAUGCAGUAGGUCCACACCAGGGGACCUUAAAUGUUAUCAUGUGAGAAGGAUAUUAUUCUAUUUCCUUCUCCUUGCCUCCUCGUGGACUGGAGGGCCUGCUGGUUGAGCUGUCGAAUGCACCUUUUCUGUCUACAGUAGUGCUCACGUCAUUGUGAUGAGAACCUGGGGCCUGGGGUGAAAUAAUCAGUCCCUUGUAGUCAAGUCAUGCUAUACACUUCAUUAGGCAUGAGCCUUAUAGUUUGAAGCCAUGGACCCAGUAGCAGAAGUUAGGAUUUGUGUGGCCUUGGCAUGAGCAUCUGGGACCGUGUCUCAAUUUCUCCUCCUUGCCAGUUCAUGGGAGCCCAUGCUUACCACCCACCUGCUGGCUGAAUCAGAAUUAAGCAUUCCCUUCCUUGCUGCCUGUACCUCUGCUAAAGCUCUUCUAACAAUGUGGCUUGUAUUAUAGUUCGUUAUGUGCUACAAGAGAACAAUGAGUGUGUCUUUUUCAUUUUAGUAAAAUAGAGCAGAAUGUCUACCUUACGUAGGGCAUUCUUUCUCUCAUUCUUCAGCAAAUGUUCCUAGAGAACAUACUAUGUGGUUCAUGGCAUUCAUUUUAUUUACCAGACGGUUAUCGAGCACCUACUCUGUGCCAAAGUCUUUUUUAGGUACUAUUAGGGAUAGAGUGGUAAAGAAGACAAAUGCUAUCCCUGAAUUCACAAAGAUAGAGCUCAUUUAAUGCUUGUGGAAAUUAAGUGGAGAAAUGAUGUGGUUUAAUAGUGGUAUUUUCAUUUAGGAGAUAAUAAGUGGCAUCAUGAUAAUGUUGGGUAAAUAGCAAAAUCCUGUGUAGAGAAGGGACUUUCCUCUUACUUGUAUUAUCAGGGCCUUUCGAAGUGACUCAUGCAUGCAGCUAAAUUAUAAUGCAGGUGAUAAGAGGUAUGAGGUUCCAUGGGAGCAGAGGAAUGUGUCCCUUCUAUCUCACUGAGUUCUUGUAAUUCCCCCUCUUUAGGGCUAGGGCCUCCUCUGAACUAAAAUCCUUCCCCAUUCCUACCCCUGUUUGUGUUUCUAUCAUUAAUUUUUCCCACCAGUUCAGAUACUUCCUGAGAACCCUGCCCUGCAGAACUUACCUGAAAGGCAUUGAGUAGUGUAAAUAUAAUAUGGAACACAGCAUUGCUUCCUUGGAACACAGUGGCAAGGCCAAAGCCCCAGGUGAGCCCCAAGAGUGGCGUGAGGACCCCAAUGCUCUUGCUGAUCUGAAACAGGCUACUCUUCUCCUGCUUGCUUGGCUUGUCUCCAAUGGAAGGUCUCAGGAUCUUGGAGAUGACCACAACUGUGAUGGUCAUGUUCACUACCACGAUGAUCAGCGCUGGGAUGACGAAGGCCAGCAGGGCCUUAGUAUCCUCCCAGUUGAGCCAGCAGGCAUUCUUCCUGGUGUAGACUUCUUGGGGCUGGGUGGCCCCUACUGUGAUGACUGAGAUGACAAGAGGGCAGCCAUAGCCAAGAGAAAAUGCAAUAGUCUUCUGAAUGGACUUGCUUGUGUCAUGCAGGAUGAAAACCAGGCGGUAGAAGAGCAUGAGGCCCAGAGUCAGCAUCCAGAAAAAGACGCUGAGGUAGAAGAAGUGGAUGAAGAAGGUGGCGGCCACACAGGCUGUCUCGUUGAGAGGGUAAAAAUGGUCGUGGAUGGCAGCGGCCACAAUGAACCAGAUGUCAGCCACCAGAAGGGAGGCGGCAAUGUUCACUAUGCAGAUGUGGCGCAUAUAGGAAGUCCGAUUCUUGGUUACUGAUUUCCACACCACGGCUUCCACCACUAGACAGGCUGCUAAGCUCAAGAUGGAAAAGCACAACCCAAUGUAGGAAAUGAUAUCCAGUAGUAU